Molecule: long non-coding RNA, 1769 nt
Organism: Panicum virgatum (switchgrass)
Lineage: Eukaryota; Viridiplantae; Streptophyta; Magnoliopsida; Poales; Poaceae
Exons: 7
Source: RefSeq, a predicted model, not a curated record
CGCGAGCGCACGUGUAGGCUCCGUCAUGAGCCCGACUGCGCCUCCUCCCACCGCCUUUCCAUCCGACGUCGGCAAGCUGGUUGCGGCGGGCCCGCUUUUGCUGGCCUACAGCGGCGAAUCGGCCACCCGAUCUGGGCGUCGAUGAUGCCGCUGCCUCUGCUCCCCUCUUCCUGGUGCAGGUCGAAGACGCAAUGGUGGUGGCGAACGUGCGGUUUAUGGGACUCGGGGCGGUGCCCUUCUCCGUGGCCUCGCCCUCCUGCGCGGGCGCAGCCUCUGCUCUGCGACACCCGGACAGCCAGUUCUGCAGCUCGUCAGCGCGCUCUAACGCGUGCUCAGCAACUUCCGUGUACGCCUCCCGACCUCCACGACGCGCUCCACGGCUUCGCAGGGCGUGACGGAGCCUCUGCUCGAAUCCUCAUUCGACGUCGUGCUCUGGGGCAAGGGGCUCCCGGAGUCCGUGCUCGCCGCCGCUGGUAAGACAGUCCUCCAUGUCUAUCCCAGUCUGUUCUACGGCUCCCUCUAUUCCUCCAUCCUGCUCGCCUCCUUCCUGUCCUUCCUCUCCCUGACCCUUCUCCGUCUUCAUUGACCGUGGCGGCGGCGGCGGCGGCCGGCUCCUAUUCGUACACCGUCGUCGAUCUACACCGCCGCGGCGUGUACUCGGAUUUCGCGACCCUGCCGACCCUUAUGCUGCCCCCUUGGACUCUGAUCAGCAUCUCAUUCACGGAUAGGAAUUUGGAAGGGGAAAGAGAGAUAUAUGUCCAUUUAACUUCACAGUGCUCAGUGAAAUUAUUAUGGAGUGACUAAGACUACAAUACAAGCAAGCUCACCAAUGACCAAACUGCGAAAGCAUUCUAAUUAAUCUGAGCAAGAUCUCACUGUUGGAUCUGCGGAAAAAAAACACAAGUUUCUCCUCUAAUAAAGGGUGUGCCUGGACAAGUCAACAAGAAUAACCAAGCAGCUUAAGGUAUUCUAAGAGCUUUACUGCGAUUGGACUAUGAAGCUUCUUAUGGUUGGCUGGCUUUUGUUUUGCAUAUUGCUAGCAUCAUAUUUACAUGACUAGCUAUUGAGAAUAACUCUUGCAGGCCAUUGAAAUCAGAUUUCCUUAUCAGUUUGAUGGGGUGUCAUCGGGUCCAGAUGAUUUAGUAAUUGUCAUAGCGAUUUGCUCCUGCUGCAUCCACAUUUAAUAGCGCGCUCUAUAUAACUGAUCAGCAGAAAGGUAUGAUCCAAGGGAAGGUUUCUGGGCGCUGCUUCCAAGUAUGAGCGUGAGAAGAGGAUCCCACUGACCCACUCGGUAGCUGUCUUGGGGGAUGCCCCGUAUGCUGUGGGAGGGUAUGAUGGAAGCAACAUGAUAUCUAACGUAGAGAUUUUUUACCUGUGCACUAAUUCAUGGAGAAUAUGCAGCCCAUUACAGGUUACAAUGGACGAUAAUUUGUUCUACAUUGGCGGGCACAGAUACAUCAUGCCAGCGACUGCAUUUCAACCGUCCCUGAUCCAAGUAUGAACACAGGGAAAACUGUUCUCAUGCCGGCAUUUUCCAAACUACUUAAUGCAGCUAUGUAACAUGGCCAGUUCCACCUAAAUACAAUGUCUGUUAAGUUAGUGAACCCUCCUAUUCUCCUACAGCUCCUUAGCUAUCCCAAUUGGAGAUUUAAAUUGUAAUAUAACAACUGCUCCUGUCAAAUACUUCUAUAUGUAUCAUCUGCAGUAGUUUAUCCAUAAACUAUUUAUCACUCUGUUGCUCUUUAGUACAAAUAUAUGUAUUUCCUUUA